Molecule: long non-coding RNA, 4283 nt
Filed under: Haliotis rubra (blacklip abalone)
Lineage: Eukaryota; Metazoa; Mollusca; Gastropoda; Lepetellida; Haliotidae
Description: uncharacterized LOC124282193
Source: RNAcentral
UUAUAUUAAUAGAGGUGUCGCAAAAGGAGAAUGAGAGCUCAGGACAAGAUUGUUUCCCUUUCCGAAAAACUACAAUAGUGCUUUUCAAUGCAUUGUAUGUUAGGCGCCAUCUGGAAGCAUAUUCUGAAACAAUAUGAAGUGAAUUCUGAAGCCCAUCGGAGGGGUACUUAACAGUGUCGUAUCAUCGGCUAACAGGACUGAUGGUACAUCAAUACCAUAUACACAUAUACCAUUGUUACUAAGUCUUAAUUCAGUUAGUAAAUCAUUUAUGAAGACAAGGAAGAACCAUGUAGACAAGACUCUACCUUGCCUUACACGUUGUUUUACUUCAAAUGUGUCUGAGCUAUUUCCAUUGUACAUUACAAAAGAAGAGCUGCAGGUGUAGCUGUGAUAUAGCAGAUUCCACAUUUUAUCCGUUAUACCCAAAUUGUGGAGUUUUAAGAAUAGACUGCCAUGCCAAAUUCAAUCAAAAGCUUUCUCAUUAUCGAGAAAAGCUGAGAAGACUUGAGAGCCACGCUCAACAUAAUAUGUUACACAAUCAUUGAGCUUAAGCGUCGACAUAAUUGCACCAUGUUCUUUUCUAAAUCCAAACUGUAGAGGGUCUGGAAAGUAAGGAUUAAUAUGGCUUAUAUAAAAUGUAGACGUGACAGUAAUAGUUUUUCAAAUAGUUACCCUAUACAGGAGGCUAGGGUGAUACCUCUGUAGUUUUUGGGAUCACAUAUUGCACCUUUUCCUGUAUACAUGUAUUUAGCAAAACAAUCAAUUAGUGCUGUUGAUUGAGAAAAGGAGGCAUUUGUCAAUCUGUUUGACACUCUACACUCUGACUUCUGACUUUACUAUGAAAAGACCCUUUGAUCCAAUUAAAGAGGUAAUAACAGCCUCAGUCCAGAGUGCAACCUGGCAGGUUCGGAAUCCUAGCUGAGGUUGAGUUACUGGUUUCAAAAUUCAUCAUCUAACAUUAAUUCUUAAUUCUUUGGGCAAUAUUAGAUUUGCUAGUAUGUAUGAAAUGUGGUUAUUUGAAGGAGAAGACAUUUCCUAAUCAUUUGUGCUUAAUUACAAUUCUCAAAAGCUUACAUUAUAAACAAAAGUGCAUAUUUGUAUGAAUCUGACAAAACAAUUUUCCAUGACAUCAUUUGGAUGCUGCUCCUAACAAAAUAGAGAGUUUUGAUCUACUAAAGUUGUCAUUUCUGAAACCAGCUAUCAAUUGAUAUCCAGCCAAAAUAUUCCUUCAAAUGUUUGAUAAAUGAGCUUUUUAGUUUUCAUUAUUAUGUCAUUGCACCAUUUCAGACAAAUUUUCAAAUACUUUGGCAAAAACUUUUACAGCAAUCACAAAGUAUCUGAAAUAUCUGUUGUAUACGAUUUAGAUGAAAUAAUCAUGGAAUGUUGAUGUUUUAAAAUCACUUUAAAGAUUCUGACUGAUUCUGAACAACAUAAGUAACAAUAAUGUGUUUUUUUACGAUGUUCCAGAGGCCACUAUGAUGUUUUACAUUUAAGAUUGUUACAAAUUCGGCUAUGAUGGAGGGCAAGUUUAAAAUACACCAACAACUAUAUAAUUUAGAUGUUCCAAGAGCAUGCCUGGCACAACUAUUAACAUCAAAAUUACUCUAAAUUGUAGAGGCCUAAAUGGUAUUUUGAAGAGAAAACAAGUACACUGGAAAUUCAACAAUUCACUUUUUGAAAGACAAAGAGUAUGCAGAUCUUGUAAGGAAAACUAUAAGUGAUACCUUAGAACAAUAUAAAGAUAAUACAAACAAAGAAGAUAAUAGUUUAAUCCUAAAUGAUCAACUACUAUGGGAAAUGUUACUGUUGGAACAUAAGGGGAAGUACAAUUUAUUUUCCAUCAACGCGUAAGAAGAAAAAUCUGGCUCUAGAAGCCAAACUAGAAGAAGAUUUGAAUGAUUAUGAAAUUAAAUUGGGUGAAGUUAAUGAUGAAAUUGAAAAAGACUUACAUAUGGAAUAAUUUAAGAAAACUAAAUCCGAAAGAUCAAAAGCCAAAUGGAUAGAACAAGGGGAAAAACCAUCCAAAUACUUUUUACAAUUAGAAUCCAGAAAUUUUCUUAAUAAAUCCAUAUCAAAGCUUGAAUUUUAUUGAAUACACAAGAUGAUAUUAUCCAAGAAGUUAAAAAUUAUGAUGAACAUUUAUAUACUAGUGAAGAUUGCACCGUAUUGACUUAGAAAAUCUUUUUACAGAGACACUUAUUUCAAGAACACAUUAAAGGGAAUAUUUGUGGCUGUAUUUAAAAAAACCCAGAAUAUCACAACCAUCGUAUUUAAUGCAGGAGCUGGUAAACACUGACUUAAACAAAUCACCCCAACCAGUCAUCAGUACCAGCAUAUGCCAGUCAGGGCAUAGACACAUGGUUUUUAACCCACGUAACUGUAGCAAAUGACAGGGAACACACAUAACAAUGUGUUGAGAAUCAAGGCAGAGCUAUGGAGAUGCUCCAAACUGACAAUAGUCAAUGUCAGGUGGCUGCACAUUUUAACGUCACUCAGGGUGUGAUUGGGAAGCUGUGGAGUAUGUUACUGAUUUCUUAUAUCGUAGUAUAUAAGAAAUGAACACACUAAGACCAAUAACCAUACAAAGUAGAAAGUGUUCUGUUGAUCUCCCAUUCUCAACAUCCAGCAGUUUGUCCACAACUGAUGCCAGUUACAGACAUGCUCACUUGCAAUGGUGCUGACUUCUGCUUUCCUGGUCCACAUGAUCACCAGAUCUGUCAAGAUUAAAGUUUAGGCCUUUCUUUUGUUCUUCAUCAUGAUGGUCUGACUAUAGAUACUGUCCCCGUUCCUACUUAUCUUUUCAGAUAGCAGAUAUACCACUCUCUGGAACUUUCUCAAGAGUAAUCUGUACAGAUGAGCACUAAUCAAGCACCACCCUCUUUUUAUAAAAGUGCGAAAACACUACAUGUUGUACAUGCUUUGAAAAUCAAAUGCCACGUAUCAAAAUGUUAACUGAAACAUUUCAUAAACAAAAACGAAAUUGAAAUUUGUAAACUCAACAAUGCCAAAGUAUGGUCACCAUGACUGUACCACCAAUAUCUGAUUGUUCCAGAGUUCUUAAAUGAUGAUUGUUGUGGCAACCCCUAGCAUGGAUAUCAUAUGCCAGUCAUGCCAUACUGGCAGUCAAGCAUCGUAUUCUCAGCAGGAGGAUCUAGUGUUAGCAUAUAAGAUAGUCAAAAAGAUGAGGUUCCCAUCAGGGCUCCUUUUGGGCAAAUUGGAAUUUUGCAGUGACGGCCUGAGGACAAUGAAGUCCAGCACAGUCAUGCAUGAAUACUGGACUACUGGCAAGGGGGUGCUCAUCAAAAUAUUUCAUUUUCCAGUAUUUCCUGUUGAUAACGUUGACCACUGAGUGUAAUGAGAUCCAACUAGCAGUCAUACGAAAGGCAACAUCGCAACAUCACUGAGGUACCACCAAAGGGAAAGGUUCAGCUACAAUGGUGCUUUCAUCAGACCAAUGAACCCUACGCCAGUCCACAAGUGGCAGUUUACUCCGUGCCUGCCCCUUCUGAUCGGACGACGUGCCCUCAUAGUGGCAGCCAUCAUACGUGAACAUGUGACGCAUAGCCUUUGAGAUAUUGUGCGAAGCAAGUGCUUUACAGGUGCAUUCAUGUAUGCUUGGGUAUUACCGCCUGUAAGGGGCUAAUUGGAGUACAAUCGCCAACAGCUGAAGGGAUGGGGUAAAAUCAGCUAGGGACUUUGCAGGUACCAAAAAUACUGUAAGACCCCAUGGUCCCAAGUAUGGUGAUCUAUCGUGAGUUGCUGUCGAUCCAUUGCCCGUUUUUAUAUUGUGUUGUUUAAUAUGAUGACUUGUUUUAUGGUAUGUAUACAUGUUAGUUUUAAAUUUCUCUCUGUGAUCAUCUAGUUGUUUUACUUUACUUUAUUGACAUGGCUUAGUUUGAAUUUUUUUUUUUUUCUGAAAAAGCGUAUUACUUGAUCAAGUCACAAUAUGGCUGAAAUAAUGCCGACGUGACUUUAAUCACACUUACUCACUCCAUGGAUUCAAGUCCAUCUGUUUUUGUCAUUACGACUAAUAAUGAUAUACAUGUAAUGUAUCAGUAAGUUCAAAAUCAAUUAUAUGUAUAUGUGCGUGCGUGCGUGCGUGCGUGCGUGCGUGCGUGCGUGCGUGCGUGCGUGCGUGUGUGUGUGUGUGUGUAAUCUGUAACUGUAAUCACCCCCUGAAGAUUAAGUCGCGUUGGAGGGAAAUUCGUGUUUUGUCAUAAUUUAUUAGACUCUCAUAAUGAACAGAUGAAUUAGGUAUCUAAAAAAUAAAACAGCUUAUUUUC